GACGAACGCUGGCGGCGUGCUUAACACAUGCAAGUCGAACGGAAAGGCCCUGCUUUUGUGGGGUGCUCGAGUGGCGAACGGGUGAGUAACACGUGAGUAACCUGCCCCUGACUUUGGGAUAACUUCAGGAAACUGGGGCUAAUACCGGAUAGGAGCUCCUGCUGCAUGGUGGGGGUUGGAAAGUUUCGGCGGUUGGGGAUGGACUCGCGGCUUAUCAGCUUGUUGGUGUGGUAGUGGCUUACCAAGGCUUUGACGGGUAGCCGGCCUGAGAGGGUGACCGGCAACAUUGGGACUGAGAUACGGCCCAGACUCCUACGGGAGGCAGCAGUGGGGAAUAUUGCACAAUGGGCGGAAGCCUGAUGUAGCAACGCCGCGUGCGGGAUGACGGCUUUCGGGUUGUAAACCGCUUUCGACUGUGACGAAGCGUGAGUGACGGUAAUGGGUAAAGAAGCACCGGCUAACUACGUG
This 468-nucleotide ribosomal RNA is filed under the name uncultured bacterium. RNAcentral's name for it is "partial 16S ribosomal RNA". It matches the Rfam family "Bacterial small subunit ribosomal RNA", at positions 28 to 507 of the family's 1533-position model. The record is from RNAcentral.